RNAcentral lists this ribosomal RNA (781 nucleotides) under uncultured Neocallimastigales. RNAcentral describes it as "partial large subunit ribosomal RNA". It matches the Rfam family "Eukaryotic large subunit ribosomal RNA", at positions 24 to 649 of the family's 3401-position model. The record is from RNAcentral. Lineage: Eukaryota; Fungi; Neocallimastigomycota; Neocallimastigomycetes; Neocallimastigales.
UACGACUACAUAUCAGGCAUAUCAAUAAGCGGAGGAAAAGAAACUAACAAGGAUUCCCCUAGUAACGGCGAGUGAAGCGGGAAGAGCUCAAAUUUGAAAUCUUCAAGGGUUCUACCUUUACGAAUUGUAGUUUAAAGAAGUGUUUUCUGUUAGAUGAGUUAGGCUAAAAGUUCCUUGGAAUAGGGACAUCAUAGAGGGUGAGAAUCCCGUAUUUGGUUAUUCAUUCUAGCUGUGUGAUACACUUUCAAAGAGUCGGAUUGUUUGGGAAUGCAGUCCAAAGAUGGGUGGUAAAUUUCAUCUAAAGCUAAAUAUUGGCGAGAGACCGAUAGCGAACAAGUACCGUGAGGGAAAGAUGAAAAGAACUUUGAAAAGAGAGUUAAACAGUACGUGAAAUUGUCAAAAGGGAAGCGUUUGACACCAGUGUUGUUUUUCCAAAAAUCAAUUACGAAUGGCUUGAUUUUGUGUUGUAUUGACCUUAUCAGCUUUCUUCACUUUUUUCGAGUCUUUCUUAAUGCACUUUUUGGUUAACAAGUCAACAUCAAUUUCUUUUGUUGUAAAAGAGUAUUCGGAAGGUGGCUUUCUUUUCGGAGAAAGUGUUUAUAGCCCUAUACUUCUACAAUCGGAGAGAUUGAGGUCUGCAGCGUAGAUCCUUCGGGGUUAGAUACACUUUGUGCUAAGUUGUAGCUUUUCAUAGACAACUUGUUGACUAUGUUUAGUCAUGCGGCUUACUCGCUUAUGCUAUUUUACCUACGCUUAGGAUGUUGAGUAGCGACAUACGCAC